CCUACGGGAGGCAGCAGUGGGGAAUAUUGCACAAUGGGCGGAAGCCUGAUGCAGCGACGCCGCGUGAGGGAUGAAGGCCUUCGGGUUGUAAACCUCUUUCAGCAGGGACGAAGCGUGAGUGACGGUACCUGCAGAAGAAGCACCGGCUAACUACGUGCCAGCAGCCGCGGUAAUACGUAGGGUGCGAGCGUUGUCCGGAAUUACUGGGCGUAAAGAGUUCGUAGGCGGUUUGUCGCGUCGUUUGUGAAAACCCGGGGCUCAACUUCGGGCUUGCAGGCGAUACGGGCAGACUUGAGUGUUUCAGGGGAGACUGGAAUUCCUGGUGUAGCGGUGAAAUGCGCAGAUAUCAGGAGGAACACCGGUGGCGAAGGCGGGUCUCUGGGAAACAACUGACGCUGAGGAACGAAAGCGUGGGUAGCAAACAGGAUUAGAUACCCUGGUAGUCCACGCCGUAAACGGUGGCGCUAGGUGUGGGUUCCUUCCACGGGAUCUGUGCCGUAGCUAACGCAUUAAGCGCCCCGCCUGGGGAGGUACGGCGCGAGACAACUACAAUAGAUAGACGGCGUGAGACGNGCCGACGGACGACGACGAGGGAGGUAGG
RNAcentral lists this ribosomal RNA (601 nucleotides) under uncultured bacterium. RNAcentral describes it as "bacterial SSU rRNA". The stretch from base 1 to 523 matches the Rfam family "Bacterial small subunit ribosomal RNA", at positions 338 to 873 of the family's 1533-position model. The record is from RNAcentral.